RNAcentral lists this non-coding RNA (455 nucleotides) under Cycloclasticus sp. symbiont of Poecilosclerida sp. M. RNAcentral's name for it is "Bacterial large subunit ribosomal RNA". It matches the Rfam family "Bacterial large subunit ribosomal RNA", at positions 2430 to 2876 of the family's 2925-position model. Lineage: Bacteria; Pseudomonadati; Pseudomonadota; Gammaproteobacteria; Thiotrichales; Piscirickettsiaceae. The record is from Rfam by way of RNAcentral.
UAUGCGACAUAAACUCCAAUAUUUAUGAGUUGAAACAAAAACUGGGGAUAAGAGGUGGGGAUGACCUUGCACUGCUACUUUUUGUUCUUGGUGUUGCUGGGAGUUGUUAGUGUGGCCUUCGGGCUGAAGCAUGUCCCAAGGGUAUGGCUGUUCGCCAUUUAAAGAGGUGCGCGAGUUGGGUUUAGAAUGUUGUGAGACAGUUCGGUCCCUACCUGUCGUGGGCGUUGGAGAUUUGAGAGGAGCUACUCCUAGUACGAGAGGACCGGAGUGGACGAACCUCUGGUGUUCCGGUUGUCAUGCCAAUGGCAUUGCCGGGUAGCUAUGUUCGGAAGGGAUAACCGCUGAAAGCAUCUAAGCGGGAAGCCUCCCUCAAGAUGCAAUCUCCUUGGGAAUUAAAUUCCCCUGAAGGGUUGUUGUUGUAGACUACAACAUUGAUAGGCUGGGUGUGGAAGCGC